AAGAAAAGAAAAAGACAAUAAUAAAUUAAUAAUUUUAUAAAAAUAAAGUGAUACCACCUACAAUGAUGAUUGAAAAAAAGAUAAGAAAAUUGAUUACCUUGCAGCAUGAUGUGGACCUUUUCUUUUUGAAAAGGGAUAAUUGUUUUGUGGAUGCAAAACGAAUUGUAACAAUUUUAUCACAGUAAGAUCUAAAUAUAUUUACGUUUAGACUCAAGCGGAAAAGUUUUUUUUUCCAAUAUUCAAAACUUUGCAAGUCUAUACUGUGUGUGCAUCACCUUUGCAGUUACCCUGACAGAUUCGCAGUGAUAAAUUUUCCAGUUUUUGCUUUUGUUAUUUGUAGUUUUGGUUAUCCUUUAAUAACAGCCCACUUUAUGGUAGUUAUCAUGUGUAGGAUGCUUGAUUUAUGAAUUACUUGUAAAAUUUCAGGCUGAACAUUGUUCUAUAGUGACAAAAUAUGCUGUUUCCUCUUAUUUUAUAUUUUAUUUUUUAUCGUUUAUUUCUUUAUUGUCAUGAAUUGAUUGUUUCCCCUCAUGUUUAUUUUCAAGGUUAUUCACCGUGAUAAUUUUCCAAAAUGUUUCUCUAGUCCCCCAGUAUAAUAAAUUCUUGAGCCCCCAUGUUGUGUUAUUCAAACAGGUAAUCAAAACUAAUUGCUAAAUUUGUCUAUUUUUAUAUUUUACGCUGUUGCAGAAGAAUCAGUAGUUAGGAUUGAUAAUUGAUAAGAAAACCUUAGUUUAUAUUUUUCAUUAAGGAUAGUUUAGUCCUUUAGGUUGUUAGUGUUUCAUUCUAUUAGAUUAGGGUUUUAUAUAUUUGUUCUCAGAUUGAUUAAUUGUAAGACAAAGUUUUCUUAUCAAUUAUCAUGGUAUCAGAGCCAAGUUACACAGGUUAGGAUUCCUUUCGCAGAUCAGCAUUGAUCAUCGCAGCCCCUGUUCUCUUCAUCGCACUUCGAAGCUCGAUCUCUCAACUGCUUCAUCUGGUUUGAUUGAAGCUCUCCACCUCUGGUUUGAUCAAAGCUCUCUACAUCUGGUUCGAUCGAUUCUCUGGUGACUUUGAUUGGAUGAUGGGAAUGAUUCGAAGUGUAUCAAAGUUUUCAACUUACAGGAGGAGAUUUAGGUGGAUGAGACUUAAAC
Molecule: non-coding RNA, 1127 nt
Organism: Camellia sinensis
Lineage: Eukaryota; Viridiplantae; Streptophyta; Magnoliopsida; Ericales; Theaceae
Source: RefSeq, a predicted model, not a curated record